RNAcentral lists this ribosomal RNA (514 nucleotides) under uncultured kinetoplastid. Its description in RNAcentral is "bacterial SSU rRNA". It matches the Rfam family "Eukaryotic small subunit ribosomal RNA", at positions 615 to 1026 of the family's 1831-position model. The record is from RNAcentral. Lineage: Eukaryota; Euglenozoa; Kinetoplastea.
GCUGUUAAGGGUUCGUAGUUGGGGCAAGAGACUUAGGUUAGGUUGGUGUGCUCCUGAGUCAUUGCCAACUCUCGCCUUGCUCGUUAGAUACGGAACAGAGCUCCUGCGGACACCUUCUCGGGGGUUGUGCAAUUCCGCAUAAAUCAUGCAGGGAGCAUCCGUAGCAUCACUGUGAACAAACAGCGUGUCCAAAGCAGUCUCUUAUGACUGAAUGCAAAAGCAUGGAAUGACAAGGGUCGACCAUUGGUGCCAUCCCCCUUUGGUUUAUGAGGCCCAAGGAGAGACGAGUUUGCGUGUCUAACGCGUUCUGAUCCGGAUCCUGAAGGCUGAAGGCGCGCAAGGCCGCUGCUCGACUGGGUCAACAGGGGCUGUCGGGGGAAGACGUGUGGGAAUGCGAGAGGUAAAAUUCUGUGCCAUUCCCAGACGAACCGAUGCGAAGGCUUCUUCCAAGUAUGCCUUCAUUAAUCAAGAACCAAGCGUGGAGAUCGAAGAUGAUUAGAUACCAUUGUAGUCC